RNAcentral lists this ribosomal RNA (253 nucleotides) under uncultured bacterium. Its description in RNAcentral is "partial 16S ribosomal RNA". It matches the Rfam family "Bacterial small subunit ribosomal RNA", at positions 524 to 776 of the family's 1533-position model. The record is from RNAcentral.
UACGAAGGGUGCAAGCGUUAAUCGGAAUUACUGGGCGUAAAGCGUGCGUAGGUGGUCUUUUAAGCCCGUUGUGAAAGCCCUGGGCUCAACCUGGGAAUGGCAGUGGAUACUGGAAGGCUGGAGUACGGUAGAGGAGGGUGGAAUUCCCGGUGUAGCGGUGAAAUGCGCAGAGAUCGGGAGGAACACCCGUAGCGAAGGCGGCACUCUGGGCCGGUACUGACGCUGAGGAGCGAAAGCGUGGGGAGCAAACAGG